Mercenaria mercenaria is the source of this 500-nucleotide long non-coding RNA. RefSeq lists it as uncharacterized. The transcript has 3 exons. Lineage: Eukaryota; Metazoa; Mollusca; Bivalvia; Venerida; Veneridae. The record is from RefSeq and is a predicted model, not a curated record.
GCGAAUUUCCUACAUUUCUGUACGUUCUACCUUGGUCCUAACCAGUCUUAGGUUCUUCAUAGUAUCGGGAUUUAGGCAGCCACCUGCCUUGGCAGUCGCAAAGGUUCAUUCCUAAGUGAGCUGCUUGAUACAGAGCGGCAGCCAUCAGCAGACAAGAUGAUACAAUAUAGGCUUUCUAAAUUUCCUUUGCUGAUAUGCUGUUUCAUACUUACAAAUACAAGAUACGCAGGUUUGUAUAGCAUUUUAGCACAUUGUUCUUUUAUUUUUCCAGUGUAGUUCCGCAGUUUAUAUUAAAGUCCCAGUCUGUGACUCUAGUCACCUGCCUUUGCGUUUCGUAAUGUUUAAAGUAAUACCUUUGGUGUUCCGUUAGGGCUUGCGUGCGCUCUGUAUAUAAACGCAAAGCGCGAUGCGACUAUGGAGAAUCGAGAACACUUUAUUGCUUCAUCAGCUUACAUUUGAGCUUCGCUUUGAUAACUGGAGUACGUGCUAGCCCUAACAGA